RNAcentral lists this ribosomal RNA (494 nucleotides) under uncultured bacterium. RNAcentral's name for it is "partial 16S ribosomal RNA". It matches the Rfam family "Bacterial small subunit ribosomal RNA", at positions 28 to 507 of the family's 1533-position model. The record is from RNAcentral.
GACGAACGCUGGCGGCGUGCUUAACACAUGCAAGUCGAACGGAAAGGCCUGCUUUCCCUUGUGGAUUGCGGGUACUCGAGUGGCGAACGGGUGAGUAACACGUGAGUGAUCUGCCCCCAACUUGGGUAUAAGCCUGGGAAACUGGGUCUAAUUCCCGAUAGGACUGCAGGGUGGUGCCUGUGGUGGAAAACGAUUUUCUAGUGGUUGGGGAUGAGCUCGCGGCCUAUCAGCUUGUUGGUGGGGUAAUGGCCUACCAAGGCGGCGACGGGUAGCCGGCCUGAGAGGGUGGACGGCCACAUUGAGACUGAGAUACGGCCCAGACUCCUACGGGAGGCAGCAGUGGGGAAUAUAGCACAAUGGGCGGAAGCCUGAUGCAGCGACGCAGCGUGGGGGAUGACGGCCUUCGGGUUGUAAACUCCUUUCGACCGCGAGGAAGCCACCUGGUUGGAAGGGUGGUGACGGUAGUGGUAGAAGAAGCACCGGCUAACUACGUG